RNAcentral lists this ribosomal RNA (253 nucleotides) under uncultured bacterium. RNAcentral's name for it is "partial 16S ribosomal RNA". It matches the Rfam family "Bacterial small subunit ribosomal RNA", at positions 524 to 776 of the family's 1533-position model. The record is from RNAcentral.
UACGAAGGACCCGAGCGUUAUCCGGAUUUAUUGGGCUUAAAGGGUGCGUAGGCGGACACGCAAGUCAGUGGUGAAAUCCCUCAGCUUAACUGAGGAACUGCCAUUGAAACUAUGUGUCUUGAGUACAUUUGAGGCGGGCGGAAUGUGUCAUGUAGAGGUGAAAUUCUUAGAUAUGACACAGAACACCAAUUGCGAAGGCAGCUCGCUAGACUGUAACUGACGCUGAGGCACGAAAGCGUGGGGAGCAAACAGG